Molecule: ribosomal RNA, 303 nt
Filed under: uncultured bacterium
Lineage: Bacteria
Description: partial 16S ribosomal RNA
Rfam family: Bacterial small subunit ribosomal RNA
Source: RNAcentral
AGCAGUCGCCGCGGGAAUACGUAGGUGGCAAGCGUUGCCCGGAAUUAUUGGGCGUAAAGCGCGCGCAGGCGGAUCAGUCAGUCUGUCUUAAAAGUUCGGGGCUUAACCCCGUGAUGGGAUGGAAACUAGUAGGCUAGAGUAUCGGAGAGGAAAGCGGAAUUCCUAGUGUAGCGGUGAAAUGCGUAGAUAUUAGGAAGAACACCAGUGGCGAAGGCGGCUUUCUGGACGAAAACUGACGCUGAGGCGCGAAAGCCAGGGGAGCGAACGGGAUUAGAGACCCCCGUAGUCCCUGUCUCUUAUACA